AAAUUUUGUCAAUCAAAAUCAAAGAUAUUCGAGGUUAGUUUCUUUAGAUUCUACUGUAAACUUCAUAAUUUUUUCAUUUGCAAAGGUUCCUACUCGAUAAUUUAAAGUGAAAGGUUCUGAUUUUGUAUGUAUGCUUACUUUUAUCAACUGAAAAUUUGGAUUGCCCCACUUUGAUUUGGUUGGUAGUGUGAGUAGACAAUCUCCUACUGCUUUGGAUUACUCUUUUUUGGCUAGUUUUUUUAUUUUCUUAUUUUUGUACUUAAACUUGAUUUCAGUCACUACGGGACUGUCUAUGGGUUUGAUGUCAUUAUGGUUGUUAGUGCUUCUAGAAGGUUGUUAGUGCUAACUGAAUAGUUUGCUCGGAAUUCUGUUGGAGUAUGACUUCCUCUGUUCAUCUUGAUGAUAUUGUUGUAUUCCCUUUAUAGUUUUCCCUGUACUACAUGCACGAGAAAAGUUGAGGAAUUAAUGAAAAACUGUAUAUGUUAACCUGAAUUUAUCGUGUUUUCCCUAUACUGCAUACACAUCUUUUAUGCCUAAAUUUCACUAGAAGAUGGUCCAAGGAAAGUGGACAAUUAAUAAGGAUGGAGGUGGCCUCUUGUUUACUUUACUGAAUGAGUACUAUAUAUUCCUAAACUAUUGAGUCCUUUCUUACCUAUCCACAUCUUAUCUAUAAUUAACUUUUGUCCCAAUCAAAAAAUAGAAGCAAAUUGGAAAAAGAGGGGAAUAAGGACUUUCAUGAAAACUAUCUUAUUUGGAGUUUAAUGAGUUUGUCGAUUGUGGACUGAUAAGUGUAAGUGGAAUAUUUCAAGAUUAAGUUUGAAGUUAAAUUUAUACCCUGGAUCUUUUUUACAAUCUUGAAUAAUUCUCUCCUCGAUCAUGAGAAAGAUUAUGGAUUUGAGUAGCUUUGCUUUCUGAAAUAGUAAUUUUCUCGUUAUUAGAGAGAAUCAGUAACCAAUUAGGCCCAAAGUUUAUUUCUUUAUCAUGGUAUCGGAUGAGUUUUAUUUUUCAUGUUGUACCCCUCUAUUUUACUAUCCAUUCUCUAGAUGUUCAAUCAUGGACGUGCGGGAGUGUUUAAUUAGCUAAUGUAUCUUACAUGUUAUGAAUAACAGAAUUGAUACAGAAAGUUUCAUAUUGUUAUAGGACGAUGUCAAUUUAAAAUCACAAAUCAUAGCAUAACCCUCUAAACUAAAUAUGGAUUUUUUUUCAAGUUUUAACCUAGCUAUACUAUAAUAGAAGCGAGUUCCAAAAUCUUCUGCAAUUCCUGAGCAGGACAAUACACUUCAAGAACACCUUUUUGUCCAAAUUCAUAUUCAUCUUCAGUCUGUUUCAUUAAUUUCAAGAAUAAUGAAUAAAACUCUUUAUAUCUUCCUUUUUGUUCAUCUCUUCAGAUCUUCCUCUUAGUUUUCCCUGUAUAUGUUAAGCUGAAUUUAUCGAUCAUAGGCUAAAUGAAGCAGAUGUCUAUUUCGAAUGCUUCACUGAAAAACUAUAAGCGAAAGGUCUAUGUCAAAUUGAAUUGUUUCAUCAUGUUGGUUGACUUUGAACUUUAUGCCAUCAUACACCUGUUGUUUGACUUUAUAGCAACAAAAGAGUUGGGCGUAAUGAUGAUGUUGGUGAAAAAAAUGCAACUAACCCAACACUAUUAGUCUUUAAUUAUCCUGGCCGAAGUUAUGGUUAGAAGGAUGAUGAUAUCCGAUGGCUAGAUAAUAAAGAAGUUGCUGCAGCACAAUUGCAUGUUCUUAUAAAUUGUGAUGAAGUUAAGACUUUUCUCAAGUAAGUAUCAACCAUGUUGUUCAUUUAACUAUUAUAUUUGGAUUGAAACUAAUGUGCUAAUGUAAGUACAUGCAGUUUGUAUGAGCAAAUCCUAAAAGAUACUUAUAGUGAUCUCACUGACGAUGUCAUUGAUAAACAAAUUUAAGAAGACUUUCCAUGAUAGUUCAAAGAUUAUGUAUGAAUAGAUUAUUUUAAUAAAGAAUAUAUCACUUAAAAUUCAUAUCUAAUAAGCUUCAAUUAUUUGAUAGGUAAAUAUUAAUCCAUAAGAGAUGCUGCAGAAUCCAUAUUUGCAAAUCUUAGCAAUGAGACCAUUAAGAAAGGCAAAGUCUUGGCCUGUUUAUUUUGUGAAUGGAUACAAGUUUCAUACUUCUUCUUGGGGCGAAGGAAAAAGUACAUAUAACAGUGGGGUGUGUGUUACUGGCG
This 2193-nucleotide long non-coding RNA is filed under the name Capsicum annuum. RNAcentral describes it as "long non-coding RNA (CANN_LNC014240)". The record is from RNAcentral. Lineage: Eukaryota; Viridiplantae; Streptophyta; Magnoliopsida; Solanales; Solanaceae.